Molecule: ribosomal RNA, 497 nt
Filed under: uncultured bacterium
Lineage: Bacteria
Description: partial 16S ribosomal RNA
Rfam family: Bacterial small subunit ribosomal RNA
Source: RNAcentral
GACGAACGCUGGCGGCGUGCCUAAUACAUGCAAGUUGAGCGCUGAAGGUUGGUACUUGUACCGACUGGAUGAGCAGCGGACGGGUGAGUAACGCGUGGGUAAUCUGCCUUUGAGCGGGGGACAACAUCUGGAAACGAAUGCUAAUACCGCAUAAUAACUUUAAACACAAGUUUUAAGUUUGAAAGAUGCAAUUGCAUCACUCAAAGAUGAUCUCGCGUUGUAUUAGCUAGUUGGUGAGGUAAAGGCUCACCAAGGCGAUGAUACAUAGCCGACCUGAGAGGGGGAUCGGCCACAUUGGGACUGAGACACGGCCCAAACUCCUACGGGAGGCAGCAGGAGGGAAUCUUCGGCAAUGGACGAAAGGCUGACCGAGCAACGCCGCGUGAGUGAAGAAGGGUGUCGGAUCGUAAAAAUCUGUUGGUAGGGAAGAACGUUGGGGGGAGUGGAAAGCUCAUCAAGUGACGGUAACUACCCAGAAAGGGACGGCUAACUACGUG